CCUACGGGGGGCAGCAGUGGGGAAUAUUGGACAAUGGGGGGAACCCUGAUCCAGUCAUGCCGCGUGUGUGAAGAAGGCCCUCGGGUUGUAAAGCACUUUCAGUGAGGAAGAACGCCUGGUGGUUAAUACCCAUCAGGAAAGACAUCACUCACAGAAGAAGCACCGGCUAACUCCGUGCCAGCAGCCGCGGUAAUACGGAGGGUGCGAGCGUUAAUCGGAAUUACUGGGCGUAAAGCGCGCGUAGGUGGCUUGAUAAGCCGGUUGUGAAAGCCCCGGGCUCAACCUGGGAACGGCAUCCGGAACUGUCAAGCUAGAGUGCAGGAGAGGAAGGUAGAAUUCCCGGUGUAGCGGGGAAAUGCGUAGAGAUCGGGAGGAAUAACAGUGGCGAAGGCGGCCUUCUGGACUGACACUGACACUGAGGUGCGAAAGCGUGGGUAGCAAACAGGAUUAGAUACCCCAGUAGUC
Molecule: ribosomal RNA, 465 nt
Filed under: Vreelandella stevensii
Lineage: Bacteria; Pseudomonadati; Pseudomonadota; Gammaproteobacteria; Oceanospirillales; Halomonadaceae
Description: partial 16S ribosomal RNA
Rfam family: Bacterial small subunit ribosomal RNA
Source: RNAcentral